GUCCACGCCGUUAAACGAUGUCUACUAGCUGUUCGUUGGUCUUGUACUGUGAGUAGCGCAGCUAACGCACUAAGUAGACCGCCUGGGGAGUACGGUCGCAAGAUUAAAACUCAAAUGAAUUGACGGGGGCCCGCACAAGCGGUGGAGCAUGUGGUUUAAUUCGACGCAACGCGAAGAACCUUACCUACUCUUGACAUCUAGCGAAGAUUGCAGAGAUGCAGUUGUGCCUUCGGGAACGCUAAGACAGGUGCUGCAUGGCUGUCGUCAGCUCGUGUUGUGAAAUGUUGGGUUAAGUCCCGCAACGAGCGCAACCCUUAUCCUUAGUUGCCAGCACGUAAUGGUGGGAACUCUAGGGAGACUGCCGGUGAUAAACCGGAGGAAGGUGGGGACGACGUCAAGUCAUCAUGGCCCUUACGAGUAGGGCUACACACGUGCUACAAUGGUACGUACAGAGGGAGGCAAGCUGGCGACAGUGAGCGGAUCUCUUAAAGCGUAUCGUAGUCCGGAUCGCAGUCUGCACUUCGACUGCGUGAAGUCGGAAUCGCUAGUAAUCGCAAAUCAGAAUGUUGCGGUGAAUACGUUCCCGGGCCUUGUACACACCGCCCGUCACACCAUGGGAGUGGGUUGCAAAGAAGUAGUAGCUUAACCUUCGGGAGGGCGCUUACCACUUUGUGAUUCAUGACUGGGGG
This 689-nucleotide ribosomal RNA is filed under the name uncultured Rheinheimera sp. RNAcentral's name for it is "bacterial SSU rRNA". It matches the Rfam family "Bacterial small subunit ribosomal RNA", at positions 793 to 1481 of the family's 1533-position model. Lineage: Bacteria; Pseudomonadati; Pseudomonadota; Gammaproteobacteria; Chromatiales; Chromatiaceae. The record is from RNAcentral.